Molecule: ribosomal RNA, 254 nt
Filed under: uncultured bacterium
Lineage: Bacteria
Description: partial 16S ribosomal RNA
Rfam family: Bacterial small subunit ribosomal RNA
Source: RNAcentral
UACGGGGGGAGCAAGCGUUGUUCGGAUUUACUGGGCGUAAAGGGCGCGUAGGCGGCCAGCACAAGUCAGUUGUGAAAUCUCCGAGCUUAACUCGGAAAGGUCAACUGAUACUGUGCGGCUAGAGUGCGGAAGGGGCAACUGGAAUUCUUGGUGUAGCGGUGAAAUGCGUAGAUAUCAAGAGGAACACCGAUGGCGAAGGCAGUGGUCUGGGCCGAUACUGACGCUGAGGAGCGAAAGCGUGGGGAGCGAACAGG